Molecule: transfer RNA, 73 nt
Filed under: Elusimicrobiota bacterium
Lineage: Bacteria; Pseudomonadati; Elusimicrobiota
Description: Elusimicrobia bacterium (activated sludge metagenome) tRNA-Thr
Rfam family: tRNA
About the family: Transfer RNA (tRNA) molecules are approximately 80 nucleotides in length. Their secondary structure includes four short double-helical elements and three loops (D, anti-codon, and T loops). Further hydrogen bonds mediate the characteristic L-shaped molecular structure. tRNAs have two regions of fundamental functional importance: the anti-codon, which is responsible for specific mRNA codon recognition, and the 3' end, to which the tRNAs corresponding amino acid is attached (by aminoacyl-tRNA synthetases). tRNAs cope with the degeneracy of the genetic code in two manners: having more than one tRNA (with a specific anti-codon) for a particular amino acid; and 'wobble' base-pairing, i.e. permitting non-standard base-pairing at the 3rd anti-codon position.
Source: RNAcentral
GCCGAGGUAGCUCAAUUGGUGGAGCAGUCCCUUCGUAAGGGACAGGUUGUCGGUUCAAGUCCGAUCCUCGGCU